This 494-nucleotide ribosomal RNA is filed under the name uncultured bacterium. RNAcentral's name for it is "partial 16S ribosomal RNA". It matches the Rfam family "Bacterial small subunit ribosomal RNA", at positions 28 to 507 of the family's 1533-position model. The record is from RNAcentral.
GACGAACGCUGGCGGCGUGCUUAACACAUGCAAGUCGAACGGAAAGGCCUGCUUUCCCUUGUGGAUUGCGGGUACUCGAGUGGCGAACGGGUGAGUAACACGUGAGUGAUCUGCCCCCAACUUGGGUAUAAGCCUGGGAAACUGGGUCUAAUUCCCGAUAGGACUGCAGGGUGGUGCCUGUGGUGGAAAACGAUUUUCUAGUGGUUGGGGAUGAGCUCGCGGCCUAUCAGCUUGUUGGUGGGGUAAUGGCCUACCAAGGCGGCGACGGGUAGCCGGCCUGAGAGGGUGGACGGCCACAUUGGGACUGAGAUACGGCCCAGACGCCUACGGGAGGCAGCAGUGGGGAAUAUUGCACAAUGGGCGGAAGCCUGAUGCAGCGACGCCGCGUGGGGGAUGACGGCCUUCGGGUGGUAAACUCCUUUCGACCGCGAGGAAGCCACCUGGUUGGAAGGGUGGUGACGGUAGUGGGAGAAGAAGCACCGGCUAACUACGUG